This 467-nucleotide ribosomal RNA is filed under the name uncultured bacterium. RNAcentral describes it as "partial 16S ribosomal RNA". It matches the Rfam family "Bacterial small subunit ribosomal RNA", at positions 28 to 506 of the family's 1533-position model. The record is from RNAcentral.
GACGAACGCUGGCGGCGUGCUUAACACAUGCAAGUCGAACGGAAAGGCCCUGCUUUUGUGGGGUGCUCGAGUGGCGAACGGGUGAGUAACACGUGAGUAACCUGCCCUUGACUUUGGGAUAACUUCAGGAAACUGGGGCUAAUACCGGAUAGGAGCUCCUGCUGCAUGGUGGGGGUUGGAAAGUUUCGGCGGUUGGGGAUGGACUCGCGGCUUAUCAGCUUGUUGGUGGGGUAGUGGCUUACCAAGGCUUUGACGGGUAGCCGGCCUGAGAGGGUGACCGGCCCAAUGGGGAGAGAGAUGCGCCCCAGACGCCUAGGGGGGGGAGGCGUGGGGAAUGUUGCCCAAGGGGCGGAAGGCUGAGGGAACAACGCAGGGGGGGGGGUGGGGGCCUUCGGUUGGUAAACCGUUUUCCCCUGUGAAGAAGCGGGAGGGGCGGUAAUGGGUAAAGAAGCACCGGCUAAAUACGU